RNAcentral lists this ribosomal RNA (253 nucleotides) under uncultured bacterium. RNAcentral's name for it is "partial 16S ribosomal RNA". It matches the Rfam family "Bacterial small subunit ribosomal RNA", at positions 524 to 776 of the family's 1533-position model. The record is from RNAcentral.
UACGUAGGGGGCAAGCGUUGUCCGGAUUUAUUGGGCGUAAAGCGCGUGUAGGCGGCCCGGUAAGUCCGCUGUGAAAGUCGGGGGCUCAACCCUCGGAUGCCGGUGGAUACUGUCGGGCUUGAGUACGGAAGAGGAGAGUGGAAUUCCCGGUGUAGCGGUGAAAUGCGCAGAGAUCGGGAGGAACACCCGUAGCGAAGGCGGCACUCUGGGCCGGUACUGACGCUGAGGAGCGAAAGCGUGGGGAGCAAACAGG